AGAAUUAAACUCUUUGCAGGUGCGCGGCUAUUCGCCGUGAUAAUAGGGAAACCGGUGCAAAACCGGUGCAGCCCCCGCUGCUGUGAGGCGGACUGUUUUUCCUUGGGGCCAAUCGGGCCCAUCCACUGGUUGCAAAACCGGGAAGGAUGAAAAACAGGAAGAUGCCAAGCCAGAAGACCUGCCUGUAAAGUGCGGUGUAA
This 200-nucleotide non-coding RNA is filed under the name Ethanoligenens harbinense. The record is from RNAcentral. Lineage: Bacteria; Bacillati; Bacillota; Clostridia; Eubacteriales; Oscillospiraceae. RNAcentral also lists the same sequence under 1 other name.